GCCAAACAGCUAGCUUAACCACUAAUAUAACCCAACAAUGUUAAUAACAAAACAUGACCUAACACCAUAAACUAAACCAUUUUUUUACCUGAGUAUGGGAGACAGAAAAG
This 110-nucleotide ribosomal RNA is filed under the name Hypophthalmichthys molitrix (silver carp). Its description in RNAcentral is "partial 16S rRNA". Lineage: Eukaryota; Metazoa; Chordata; Actinopteri; Cypriniformes; Xenocyprididae. The record is from RNAcentral.